This 481-nucleotide long non-coding RNA is filed under the name Ananas comosus (pineapple). RNAcentral describes it as "long non-coding RNA (ACOM_LNC023581)". Lineage: Eukaryota; Viridiplantae; Streptophyta; Magnoliopsida; Poales; Bromeliaceae. The record is from RNAcentral.
CACUAGAGAUGUCAACGGGUCGGAUUCCGGGCGGAUUUUGAAAAACCCGAAUCCGAACCCCACUCCAAACCCGACACCCGAACCCGAACCCGAACCCGAACCCGACGGAUUUUAAAAAUCCAUAUCCAAUCCCGAACGCGACCAAAAAUUCGAAACCCGAACCCGAAUCCGAACCCGAACCCGAAAAUUUGAAUCCGAAAUAAUUAUUUCUUUUUUCAAUAUUUCAAAAUAUAUUAUAUUAAACCUAAAUUUUUAAAAUACAAAUUCAAAUAUAACAUCAAAUUUUUAUAUAUAUAUUAUAUAUAAUACAAAAUAAAUUCGGGUUCGGGUCGGGUUCGGGUUCGGGUCGGGUACAAUUAAAAUCCAUAUCAAAUUCGGGUUCGGGUCAGGUUCGAGUUCAGAUCGGGUACAAUUAAAAUCCAUAUCCGAAUUCAUAUCCGUCGGGUUUCUAUUUUUGAUAUCCAUAUCCGAAUCCAUAUCC